This 504-nucleotide ribosomal RNA is filed under the name uncultured bacterium. Its description in RNAcentral is "bacterial SSU rRNA". It matches the Rfam family "Bacterial small subunit ribosomal RNA", at positions 28 to 518 of the family's 1533-position model. The record is from RNAcentral.
GACGAACGCUGGCGGUGUGCUUAACACAUGCAAGUCGUGCGACGAACCAGACUUCGGUCUGGGGCAAAGCGGCGAACGGGUGAGUAACACGUGGGUAAUCUGCCCCGAUGACUGGGACAACCCGAGGAAACUCGGGCUAAUACCGGAUGUGGUGCCUGGACUCAAGUCCGGUCACUAAAGGUAGCUUCGGCUUCCGCAUUGGGAGGGGCCCGCGGCCCAUUAGCUUGUUGGUGGGGUCAAGGCCUACCAAGGCAACGAUGGGUAGCUGGUCUGAGAGGACGAUCAGCCACACUGGGACUGAGACACGGCCCAGACUCCUACGGGAGGCAGCAGUGGGGAAUCUUGCGCAAUGCGCGAAAGCGUGACGCAGCAACACCGCGUGAGGGAAGACGGCCUUAGGGUUGUAAACCUCUUUCAGAUGGGACGAAGGUGAUGCGGUGAAUAGCCGAUGUCAUUGACGGUACCGUCAGAAGAAGCUCCGGCUAACUACGUGCCAGCAGCCGC